RNAcentral lists this ribosomal RNA (407 nucleotides) under uncultured bacterium. RNAcentral describes it as "partial 16S ribosomal RNA". It matches the Rfam family "Bacterial small subunit ribosomal RNA", at positions 30 to 526 of the family's 1533-position model. The record is from RNAcentral.
AUUGAACGCUGGCGGCAGGCCUAACACAUGCAAGUCGAGCGGAGCGGCGGACGGGUGAGUAAUGCCUAGGAAUCUGCCUGGUAGUGGGGGAUAACGUCCGGAAACGGGAGCUAAUACCGCAUACUAUCAGAUGAGCCUAGGUCGGAUUAGCUAGUUGGGGGGGUAAAGGCCUACCAAGGCGACGAUCCGUAACUGGUCUGGGAGGAUGUUCAGUCACAAGGGAACUGAUAAACGGGCCAUAAGCCUACGGGAGGCAGCAGGGGGGAAUAUGUGACAAUGGGCGAAAGCCUGAUCCAGCCAUGCCGCGUGUGUGAAGAAGGUCUUCGGAUUGUAAAGCACGUUAAGUUGGGAGGCGGUACCAACAGAAUAAGCACCGGCUAACUUCGUGCCAGCAGCCGCGGUAAUAC